UUUAACGACUGAGCCACCCAGGCGCCCCUGCUUCUCUUUUAAUGUUUAGAGCAGAUAAAUGUUUCUUCCUGAAGAGUGUGUUCUUAGUUUGGUUAUCGACAUAAGCACAAAGGCAGGAAUGCAAGGAGGAACUGCCAUUUCUGUAUCACAUAUGGAAAGCUGCAUUUAGAAGUACAAAUCCAAAAGGUAAUAUCGCAAAGAUUUCCCAAGGACCGGGCAAAAAUACACGGGAAAGAAGAAAGAAAAUGGGAUGAAAGAGACUAAACUAUUGAAGCAGGAUACCAGGAGCUCAGAUUGUAGGUGAGGAAGUGUCACAUUUUCUGUGUUAGCAUGGUAAAACAGCAACAUUCAAGGACCAAAGAACAUCUGACUGGUUGAAGAGUGGGGAAAAGGUGCUUUGGAGUCCUCAUUCAUGCAUGUAUUCAUUUGUUCCCGGGAGUCCAAAGCUUUUGCCCUGUGGAAAGACCAUGAAAGGCAGCUUACUCUGGGGGAAGCGAGGUGGAUUGUCAUUUACAUCUGUCAGUGUGAUGUUCACCGUGGUGGUCCCCGAUAAGCCUCCCAUCUGGCCGCCCAUAUCUUUGGCCUGGAUUACCACUUGAUAUUGCUCCCUGUUUUCUCUGUUCAUGUUUGGUAAAGCAGUCCUGAUGAUACCUUGAAGAAAACAUGAAAACUUAUGUUAUCCUUGUGAAAAUCUCAACUAGUAGUUGCCUAAGACCACAAAUUAUACAUCUAACGAUUUUGGAAAGACAACGUAUGUUUUUGCUAUUAAUUUUUAUUGUCUAGAAAUUGCAAAAGUGAUUCAAUGUCAAUAUUUUACCAUUUGUGUGGUUUUUCUAUUACCUAAAGAAGGCCAUUCGUGCUAUAUAGUGACUUAAACCCAUAGGUAAAAAAAUCAUAGAAACAGUUAUAUUUCCAUCAGCUCACCCAAUCAUUCAACUUUGAAUUCUUUAAUCUUUAAGUGUGGCAUCAUUACUCUUCUGCUCCACAGAGAAAUAUGGCUGCCCUUGAAGUAUGCUGUAAAUAACUCUGGCACUGUUUCCAUAGGAAGGGUCAUCGGCAUCUGUAGCUGUGACUUGCACCACGGAAGUACCUGAA
Ailuropoda melanoleuca (giant panda) is the source of this 1095-nucleotide long non-coding RNA. RefSeq lists it as uncharacterized. NCBI's taxonomy places the organism in Eukaryota, Metazoa, Chordata, Mammalia, Carnivora, Ursidae. The record is from RefSeq and is a predicted model, not a curated record. The transcript has 4 exons.